RNAcentral lists this long non-coding RNA (1128 nucleotides) under Hordeum vulgare. RNAcentral describes it as "long non-coding RNA (HVUL_LNC006148)". Lineage: Eukaryota; Viridiplantae; Streptophyta; Magnoliopsida; Poales; Poaceae. The record is from RNAcentral.
UCUUAUAUGACCAAUGUACUUGUUCAUAUAUAUCUUGAAAACGAGACUACUAUAAAAGAUAAUAUUUAUAAAUCCUAAAUCAAGGGACACCAUCUUUCUUUGAAUGGAUAUUAUCCUUCAUUGGUGAUCACAAUGCCUUCUCAUUCUUUUACGUAUUACGGUGGACCAGCAGUCAGUCCUGUUAAUUCAUGUACGCCAUUUCCACUGUCUGGAAAAUAUAAAACCAAUUUGUAAGAAGGGUCGAUGAUGAAAAAAUAUGAAAUUGACAUUAUUUUGAUACCAUAGCUUUCAUCCUUAUGGGUGCAAUAUAUUUGAGUAACUGGAAGACAAUGGAGUGUUGAAACAAAUUCUUGAUGUGCUACAAGCUAGUUAGAAUCUCACUUCCGGAAUCAUCUGCAUCCCAAUUUGCAGUGAAUAAGCCUUGUAUGUUUCUUGGAACAUCAUGUGCAGAUAUGAAAACAAGCAACCUCUUUAUAUCAUUCAAUACAAAAUAGCUUGAAUACCUUUUGUAGCUAAGUUGUAACCUUUCCAUAGUCCUGUUCUCCCAUAUGAGAUGUGUGUGUAGCCCUUUUUCUGCUGAAAUUUGCUAAUUAUCUUGAUUUCUUUGGCAAGGUCCAGGCCAAUUCAAUGUUUUUGACGUUCCAUACUUGUGGUGACUCGUUAUGAUAACCUAUAAUUAAGCGUUAGUUUGAAGUGGGCACCAAAAAUCUACAUAAUAAAAUAAAAUUAAAUAAGUGAAUGCUGAUGGACUGAGAAAAAUUAUUGAAUGCUAAAAAAAAUAAGUACAUUACAGAUGUCACAGUUUUACUAUCGAAGUACCCUUAUGUUGUUCAACACGGCAUAGUAAAUUUGUAAACAAAAUAAAGCAAACAAAACUGCACCUACGUGUUUAAUAAUCAUGAACUGGACUUGAAUCAACAAUAGUUGAUAUAAAUUCCCAACAACAAAAAAACAGAGGAAGGAGGAAUAAGAAUGAACUAGUAGUGGAAUAGAGUCGGUGGUGGACCCUGGUAGUGUGCAGGAUGCAGCUCGAGCACCCAGGACAAGGUGACUGGUCGGUGUUGUGCAGGACACAUCGUGGGCACGUCGGCGCCGAGGACGCCACAAGGAGCAGGCUGCGGCACGAAU